UGGGGAAUAAUGCACAAUAGGGGAAACCCUGAUGCAGCGACGCCGCGUGAACGAAGAAGGUAUUCGUAUCGUAAAGUUCUGUCCUAUGGGAAGAUAAUGACAGUACCAUAGAAGAAAGCUCCGGCUAAAUACGUGCCAGCAGCCGCGGUAAUACGUAUGGAGCGAGCGUUGUCCGGAAUUAUUGGGCGUAAAGGGUACGCAGGCGGUUUAAUAAGUCGAAUGUUAAAGAUCGGGGCUCAACCCCGCAAAGCAUUGGAAACUGAUAAACUUGAGUAGUGGAGAGGAAAGUGGAAUUCCUAGUGUAGUGGUGAAAUACGUAGAUAUUAGGAGGAAUACCAGUAGCGAAGGCGACUUUCUGGACACAAACUGACGCUGAGGUACGAAAGCGUGGGGAGCAAACAGG
RNAcentral lists this ribosomal RNA (403 nucleotides) under bacterium. RNAcentral describes it as "partial 16S ribosomal RNA". It matches the Rfam family "Bacterial small subunit ribosomal RNA", at positions 355 to 776 of the family's 1533-position model. The record is from RNAcentral.